AUCUCUAGGAAGACUUCCCAUGAAGUUCUAAGAAAAGUUCAGGGUGGAGGGAACCCAAGUCCUUAUUGUCUAGAGUAAACGCACAUUGUCCUUAAUUAUCUGGUCUUUAUUUGUCGUCCUUUCUAGUGAAGAUUAAAGGUUAUGUUUUAUGCUUCAAAGCAAGGAUUUUGUGGUAGGGCUCAUUAUUUUUAUUGAAACAAUGAACUAACUGAUUCACCAAGUUAGAUUGUUAUGCUCAGUUCUUAUUUUUCCUAGGGACAGUUGUGUUGGUACGCACCUCUAAUCUGAGGACAAAAAAGUGGACACAGGAGAGUAUUGAGUUUAAGAGCAACUUGGACUACAUAGAAAAAUGUCUGAUUGUCUCUUAGAGAUUGCCUAGGGCUCCAUUCAUGAUGUCUGGACUUAAGACGGAGAACUGAAAGCAGCAAUGGCCUAUUACAAAUUAUUGAUCUUGAGCAAGAAAUGGAUCUUUCUUCAGUCAGUUCCUUAUCCAGUCAUCAUCAGAGAAGCUUCCUCUGGCAGAAGAUGGGAAUAGGUGCAGAGACCCACAGUCAGAUAUUCAGAGAAAUAUAGAGUCUAAAUUGAAGAUUUCUUUCAGAUCCUUUCCCUCAGAGCUCAGGGAAUCCCAUGGACGAGGAAGAGGAAAAAUUAUCAGAGGCUCAAGUGGAUGGAGGACAUGAGGCUUGUAAGGCUCUCUUUAUCAACUAAGCAAGGCACAUAUGAGCUCACAACGACAGAAGCAGCAAGCACAGGGGAGCAUACGUCUGUACUAGAUCCUCUGCAUAUAUAUUACAACUAUUAAUUAAGUACUUUUACAGAAACCUGAGUAUGAGAAAAAUGGGUCUCGGUCUCUUCUGCCUGCUCUUAUUUUCUUUCCCCUCCCUGUUGGGUUGUCAUGUCCAACCUCCAUAUGAUAGCUUUGGCUCCAUCUUAGUAUAUUUUAUUUUGUCAUGUUUUGUUGCUAUCUCUUAGGAGGCUAUACUUUUUCUAAUGAGAGAAAGAAAGGGAGUGGAUCUGAAUGGGAGGGGAGAUGGGAAGGUACUUGAGGGAGUAGAGGGAGGGAAAAUAAUUGAGAUAUAUGAGAAAAUCUAUUCUCUGUUUUAAGAAUUAUGUUAUUAUUUAACAAAAGAGAGGAAAUUAGAUAAAAUAACAAUCCAUUAUGUAAUAAGAUUUGGACCCAAUCAUAUUCGGAUUCAGAAGACAUCCACAGUUCAUGUAAAAUGGUGUCCCCCACUCCUUUGUUACCUCUUUGUCUUGCCCUGAUUUCUGUCCCUCAGCUUAUACUAUGUAUACAAGAGAAAUUCUGUAUGAUAAAAUAGAAGAAGUCAAAUUUGGGCCUGCUUUGAAGAUAAUUUUCUGAAUAUACUAGGCAUACUGAGGUCAUUCUGUUGCUACAUUACAGUCCAUUUAGAUGUAGUCCUGGAAGUCUGGGGUGAGUAGAUUUCUUCCCACAAAUAAGAUAUUUCCAUAAGCAACUUGGUCAUGCC
This is a long non-coding RNA of Alexandromys fortis (reed vole), 1487 nucleotides long. RefSeq lists it as uncharacterized. Lineage: Eukaryota; Metazoa; Chordata; Mammalia; Rodentia; Cricetidae. The transcript has 3 exons. The record is from RefSeq and is a predicted model, not a curated record.